Molecule: ribosomal RNA, 374 nt
Filed under: Tegyrius keralaensis
Lineage: Eukaryota; Metazoa; Arthropoda; Insecta; Coleoptera; Chrysomelidae
Description: eukaryotic LSU rRNA
Source: RNAcentral
GGUCGAAAGGGGAAAUUCAAUCGCGUUUCGACUUAGUCGGAGUUGAACGUUCGCGUGACGGACGGCGUUCGCGCCGUUCGCUCCUUGCGUUCAUCGAAACCGGCGUCGAACGCGUGCACUUUUCCCCUAGUAGGACGUCGCGAUCCGUUGGGCGUCUGUCUAAGACUCCGAGUGGAGCCCGAACGUCGUUUCGUCGUUCGGACCUCGGAUGAUUUCCGGCAGACACGCUCGACGGUACGCUAAAGGCGCGAGGCCGCUACUAAAGUUAGCGUUCGGCCCGUAGCAAGCACGUUUCGCGUUAGGCGGCGAUCGGACCUGGUGCCGGUUCCGCCCCGGAACGACUGUUGGUUGCGGUGUUCUCGAACAGACCUCGU